GUAGUCAUAUGCUUGUCUCAAAGAUUAAGCCAUGCAUGUCUAAGUAUAAGCAAUUAUACAGCGAAACUGCGAAUGGCUCAUUAUAUAAGUUAUCGUUUAUUUGAUAGUACCUUACUACUUGGAUAACCGUGGUAAUUCUAGAGCUAAUACAUGCUAAAAAUCCCGACUUCGGAAGGGAUGUAUUUAUUAGAUUAAAAACCAAUGCCCUCCGGGGCUCACUGGUGAUUCAUGAUAACUUCUCGAAUCGCAUGGCCUUGCGCCGGCGAUGGUUCAUUCAAAUUUCUUCCCUAUCAACUUUCGAUGUUUGGGUAUUGGCCAAACAUGGUUGCAACGGGUAACGGGGAAUGGGGCGGGGGCGGCGGGCCGGGCGCGGGGCGCGGCGGGCG
This 386-nucleotide ribosomal RNA is filed under the name uncultured fungus. RNAcentral's name for it is "bacterial SSU rRNA". It matches the Rfam family "Eukaryotic small subunit ribosomal RNA", at positions 20 to 375 of the family's 1831-position model. Lineage: Eukaryota; Fungi. The record is from RNAcentral.